UUCCCAUUUAUUUGUAUUGUAGUCCUGUAAUAUUAUGUUGUCAUUUCUAUGUUAUAUUUAACAUUGCCAUUAAAGUGCGAGGUUUGGCAUGCCACAAAACCAGGUUCAACCCACCAUGUUUUUCCUUUAAAAAUGUCCUGUACCAAGUCAGGAAUAUGGUCAUUGUUAUAUUAUAGUUCGUUUCUGUGUGUGUUACAAUUUAACGUUGCGUCGUUUGUUUUCUCUUAUUUUUUUAGUGUAAAUUGACAUUGCGAUAAGACGUGUCACGGUACUUGUCUAUCCCAAAUUCAUGUAUUUGGUUUUGAUGUUAUAUUUGUUAUUCUCGUGGGAUUUUGUCUGAUGCUUGGUCCGUUUCUGUGUGUGUUAGUUACAUUGUAGUGGUGUGUCGUUGUUCUCUUAUAUUUAUGCGUUUCCCUCAAUUUUAGAUUGUUACCCCGAUUUUGUUUUUUGUCCAUGGAUUUAUGAGUUUGAACAGCGGUAUACUACUGUUGCCUUUAUUUAA
RNAcentral lists this long non-coding RNA (502 nucleotides) under Mytilus galloprovincialis (Mediterranean mussel). Lineage: Eukaryota; Metazoa; Mollusca; Bivalvia; Mytilida; Mytilidae. The record is from RNAcentral.